UUAAGCGACUAAGCGUACACGGUGGAUGCCCUGGCAGUCAGAGGCGAUGAAGGACGUGCUAAUCUGCGAAAAGCGUCGGUAAGGUGAUAUGAACCGUUAUAACCGGCGAUGUCCGAAUGGGGAAACCCAGUGCAAUUCGUUGCACUAUCGUUAACUGAAUACAUAGGUUAACGAGGCGAACCGGGGGAACUGAAACAUCUAAGUACCCCGAGGAAAAGAAAUCAACCGAGAUUCCCCCAGUAGCGGCGAGCGAACGGGGAGCAGCCCAGAGUCUGAAUCAGCUUGUGUGUUAGUGGAACGGUCUGGAAAGUCCGACGGUACAGGGUGAUAGUCCCGUACACCAAAAUGCACAGGCUGUGAACUCGAAGAGUAGGGCGGACACGUGGUAUCCUGUCUGAAUAUGGGGACCAUCCUCCAAGGCUAAAUACUCUGACUGACCGAUAGUGAACCAGUACCGUGAGGGAAAGGCGAAAAGAACCCCGGCGAGGGAGUGAAAAGAACCUGAAACCGUGUACGUACAAGCAGUGGGAGCACCUUCGGGUGUGACUGCGUACCUUUGUAUAAUGGGUCAGCGACUUAUAUUCUGUAGCAAGGUUAACCGUAUAGGGAGCCGCAGGGAAACCGAGUCUUAACUGGGCGUUAAGUUGCAGGGUAUAGACCCGAAACCCGGUGAUCAGCCAUGGGCAGGUUGAAGGUUGGGUAACACUAACUGGAGGACCGAACCGACUAAUGUUGAAAAAUUAGCGGAUGACUUGUGGCUGGGGUGAAAGGCCAAUCAAACCGGGAGAUAGCUGGUUCUCCCGAAAGCUAUUUAGGUAGCGCCUCGUGAACUCAUCUUCGGGGUAGAGCACUGUUUCGGCUAGGGGUCAUCCGACUUACCAACCCGAUGCAAACUACGAAUACCGAAGAAUGUUAUCACGGGAGACACACGGCGGGUGCUAACGUCCGUCGUGAAGAGGAAACAACCCAGACCGCCAGCUAAGGUCCCAAAGUCAUGGUUAAGUGGGAAACGAUGUGGGAAGGCACAGACAGCCAGGAUGUUGGCUUAGAAGCAGCCAUCAUUUAAAGAAAGCGUAAUAGCUCACUGGUCGAGUCGGCCUGCGCGGAAGAUGUAACGGGGCUAAACCAUGCACCGAAGCUGCGGCAGCGACACUAUGUGUUGUUGGGUAGGGAGCGUUCUGUAAGCCUGCGAAGGUGUGCUGAGGCAUGCUGGAGGUAUCAGAAGUGCGAAUGCUGACAUAAGUAACGAUAAAGGGGUGAAAAGCCCGCUCGCCGGAAGACCAAGGGUUCCUGUCCAACGUUAAUCGGGGCAGGGUGAGUCGACCCCUAAGGCGAGGCCGAAAGGCGUAGUCGAUGGGAAACAGGUUAAUAUUCCUGUACUUGGUGUUACUGCGAAGGGGGGACGGAGAAGGCUAUGUUAGCCGGGCGACGGUUGUCCCGGUUUAAGCAUGUAGGCUGAUUGUCCAGGCAAAUCCGGAUAAUCAAGGCUGAGGUGUGAUGACGAGGCACUACGGUGCUGAAGUAACAAAUGCCCUGCUUCCAGGAAAAGCCUCUAAGCAUCAGGUAACAUUAAAUCGUACCCCAAACCGACACAGGUGGUCAGGUAGAGAAUACCAAGGCGCUUGAGAGAACUCGGGUGAAGGAACUAGGCAAAAUGGUGCCGUAACUUCGGGAGAAGGCACGCUGGUGUGUAGGUGAAGUCCCUGCGGAUGGAGCUGAGACCAGUCGAAGAUACCAGCUGGCUGCAACUGUUUAUUAAAAACACAGCACUGUGCAAACACGAAAGUGGACGUAUACGGUGUGACGCCUGCCCGGUGCCGGAAGGUUAAUUGAUGGGGUUAUCCGUAAGGAGAAGCUCUUGAUCGAAGCCCCGGUAAACGGCGGCCGUAACUAUAACGGUCCUAAGGUAGCGAAAUUCCUUGUCGGGUAAGUUCCGACCUGCACGAAUGGCGUAAUGAUGGCCAGGCUGUCUCCACCCGAGACUCAGUGAAAUUGAACUCGCUGUGAAGAUGCAGUGUACCCGCGGCAAGACGGAAAGACCCCGUGAACCUUUACUAUAGCUUGACACUGAACAUUGAGCCUUGAUGUGGAUAGGUGGGAGGCUUUGAAGCGUGGACGCCAGUCUGCGUGGAGCCAACCUUGAAAUACCACCCUUUAAUGUUUGAUGUUCUAACGUUGGCCCCUGACCGGGGUUGCGGACAGUGUCUGGUGGGUAGUUUGACUGGGGCGGUCUCCUCCCAAAGCGUAACGGAGGAGCACGAAGGUUAGCUAAUCCUGGUCGGACAUCAGGAGGUUAGUGCAAUGGCAUAAGCUAGCUUGACUGCGAGCGUGACGGCGCGAGCAGGUGCGAAAGCAGGUCAUAGUGAUCCGGUGGUUCUGAAUGGAAGGGCCAUCGCUCAACGGAUAAAAGGUACUCCGGGGAUAACAGGCUGAUACCGCCCAAGAGUUCAUAUCGACGGCGGUGUUUGGCACCUCGAUGUCGGCUCAUCACAUCCUGGGGCUGAAGUAGGUCCCAAGGGUAUGGCUGUUCGCCAUUUAAAGUGGUACGCGAGCUGGGUUUAGAACGUCGUGAGACAGUUCGGUCCCUAUCUGCCGUGGGCGCUGGAGAAUUGAGGGGGGCUGCUCCUAGUACGAGAGGACCGGAGUGGACGCAUCACUGGUGUUCGGGUUGUCAUGCCAAUGGCACUGCCCGGUAGCUAAAUGCGGAAGAGAUAAGUGCUGAAAGCAUCUAAGCACGAAACUUGCCCCGAGAUGAGUUCUCCCUGAGACUUUAAGUCUCCUGAAGGAACGUUAAAGACGAUGACGUUGAUAGGCCGGGUGUGUAAGCGCAGCGAUGCGUUGAGCUAACCGGUACUAAUGAACCGUGAGGCUUAACCU
This 2877-nucleotide ribosomal RNA is filed under the name Klebsiella pneumoniae. Its description in RNAcentral is "bacterial LSU rRNA". It matches the Rfam family "Bacterial large subunit ribosomal RNA". Lineage: Bacteria; Pseudomonadati; Pseudomonadota; Gammaproteobacteria; Enterobacterales; Enterobacteriaceae. The record is from RNAcentral.